RNAcentral lists this ribosomal RNA (253 nucleotides) under uncultured bacterium. Its description in RNAcentral is "partial 16S ribosomal RNA". It matches the Rfam family "Bacterial small subunit ribosomal RNA", at positions 524 to 776 of the family's 1533-position model. The record is from RNAcentral.
UACGUAGGGUGCGAGCGUUAAUCGGAAUUACUGGGCGUAAAGCGUGCGCAGGCGGUUUUGUAAGGCAGAUGUGAAAUCCCCGGGCUUAACCUGGGAAUGGCAUUUGGGACUGCAAGGCUGGAGUGCGGCAGAGGAGACUGGAAUUCCUGGUGUAGCGGUGAAAUGCGCAGAUAUCAGGAGGAACACCAACGGCGAAGGCAGCACUCUGGGCCGGUACUGACGCUGAGGAGCGAAAGCGUGGGGAGCAAACAGG